Long non-coding RNA from Mercenaria mercenaria, 12028 nucleotides. RefSeq lists it as uncharacterized. NCBI's taxonomy places the organism in Eukaryota, Metazoa, Mollusca, Bivalvia, Venerida, Veneridae. The record is from RefSeq and is a predicted model, not a curated record. The transcript has 15 exons.
UCAAUGUUUGCAAAGAAACAAGGGCCACUGACUGGAUCAGCAUUACUGGGACACAGAGAUGGACCCAGUCUGUUCAGUUCUAGUCUGAAAUCUAAAUACAUGUCACCAGUCAAAAUGGCUAAUAUACCACAGAAAGAGACAAUAAAAGACAGAGGUACACACCCAGACGACCCUAGGGUAUGAUAUGGGAUCUGUGUGUUGCUCUGUGGGGAAAUAUGCCAGAGUUUGAAGAUAUGGAAAUAGAAAGAGACGCCUACCUGUAACACAAAGCAAGGAGAGAGGCAUUUUCAAGAUGGCUGUCAUCUGUAUCAGGGGAGAUAAUCAUAAAAGAAGUCCAAGAAAACAAAUACAAGAUCGGAUAAGCAAAAUAUGGCUACACCGAUAAAAAAGAGAAAAUUGUUUGGAUGCAUACGCUGAAGAGAAUGGAAAUUGGUCUGCUGGUUGCUACUUUGAGCUGGCAUUUAAGCCAAGUGUUGCAGAGUCUCUCUUACAAUCACCUGUCAGCGUACCACAUAGCAAACUACACAUGAACUUUGCUGCACAUCAACAGUCUCUCAAUCUCUGGGAAUGUGCAGUAUUUGUGGCAUUGCAUAUCAGUUGUGAGUCAGCUGUACAAAGUAUACACGAUCGGCACAUUCAGCUUUCAUCAUCAGAGUCGUACCAAGGGAAGGAAGAAUUAUUGAAUGAAAGGCUGUUUGUACCUGUUGAAUGGAUACAUAAUACUAAGUGCGGAGAAGAGGGGAAGUUCAGCAGAAAUUCCACCCCCAAGGAGAUUAGCCCCACCCACAUUAACCCAUCAUCCACCAAGAAGAGGAUGUGGAAAUUUGUUAUCGUCUAAGCCCAUUGAACAGUUCAAUCAGACAUACACUUGAUGGUGAGCUGCAAUAAAACCAAAUAAACUGAUCUCAUGUUGACAGAAUAUAACAUUGCUGAACAAUUUAGACUCUGAUAUUCCUGUGUGAUCCAAUUAUUGAAAUUAGUAAGAGAGAUUAUUCAAAUUUAGACUAUAAAAUAAAAAGGAGUGUUUUAGGUGAAGAGUUUUAUCACUCAAAAACUCCUUCACCAGUUGGACUAGACAAAAUAAAGGAAGACAAUUUUAUUGGGCAGACAAGAAAUUCUGACAUACAGACACCGAAAGGAAUCUUUCAAUGUUGAUUGUCUACAGUUGUACGGAAGGGGCAACGAUGGCAGUCAUUUGAUGAUGAAUUUGUUGAAUAUGACCUCAGAAACAGGAACAUCCUGAAAGCAGAGAAAGCAAGAGGCUAGAUAAUUUUUUCCAAGUGUGACAAGCCAUGGGUGGUCUAUUCUGCUGUUAAGAGGACUUUGGAACAGAGUUAAACAUUUCCUGCAGCAGCUUAGGACAGUACAGUUUGUGAGUUAACAGAUCAGGGUGAGCCUCAGUGUUUCCUGGUGUACUGUACUCAUCCGCCAACUUAGGACAGCUGUUUAGUGAUCGCAGAGGUGCGACACCCGUUUCAGAGCCAUUUACAUCAUUUAGUGAGGAUUCCUGUGUAUGACAGUACUGAACCUGAGGAAUUUCACACAUUUUUGAGCAGAGACCAGUGCAAUGUGUGAAGUAACAGUAAAGCAGGAUAGCUACAGACCAUGAAGUGGAGAAAUGAAGAGAUGCAGUCUAGAUUGAUAAACAUAGUGUGUGUAGGAAACAUAGUGGAUAUAAAUCAUUGAAAUCAUGUGACAAGUCUAUAGGACAGAGAUGUGUGUAUCAGUCUGUGAGGCUUUCACAUCACUUCCCAGUCGACAGAUUGGCAAUGGAUGCGUAGAUUCUCAAAUAACUUGGCAUGACUUUUCACAGUUACAAAGACAGAUUGCAAAAGAUUUUAGAGAAAUAUAUAAGGUAGAGCUCUGCAGUGUGUCACAUGUUUUUGCACAGAUUUGUGUUCCACAUGUAUGGCCUUGAAGGAAUUGUUAUAGGAAAUGGGUAAAAGAGAUACAUGUGAAAAAGAAAAGAAAUGACCUCGGGAAAGACAAGAUACAGCAGGUACAAGUUCUUAAGACAUUCAUUGAAACAUCAGAGUUCAGCAGCUUCUUGGAACAGGUACAUGUAUAUACUGUGGUUACAGAUUUGCAGUAUCAGCCAGCAUCCCCAGACAUUCUAAAUAUAGGACCAACACAAUCAGACAAGUUGGCAAGAUGAUUUUACGUUCAAGAGUGGUGACAUUCUGCCCAAGAUUCUAGUCUGGAGAUACCAUCAGCUGAUCUUAGAAUCUUUUUUAAGAUUUAAGUUUAAAAAUGUGACAUUGACUUAAGACUACAUGUAUACUGCUUUCAGUCAAAGGCUUUUCUCUGUUUUGUUUUUUUAUCAACACAUUAAGAUCUGGAAAAUAACUGUAUUGGAGACAAGUUUGUAUGACAAAAUGAAAUAAAGAUUUUUAUGUUAAAAAUAUUUUUUUUAUAUAUAUUAAAUACUUAUGAAGUGACUUUAUCAUGACUUUAAGAUAUGCAAGAUUACAGUGGUUGCUUUUUUAAAUGUUUUCAGGAAGUGCAAAAAACUUCCUUAUUUGACAAGAAACAGCUUUUUCAACCGUAACAUAUGUUAAAACACAUUAGAUGGACUUUUACAAAGAAAAUUGUUAAUUAUGUCAAGAGUUAUAUAGAUCCUAGCUAUAUGACUUAUUUUUACUUUCAACUGUAUUGCAUGACUUUUGUAAGUUUGAGCAGUUGAGUUAUUAACCACAAAAAUAUUGUAAGUGACUUCCUAGUUUUUGGCAAGCUGAUCUAUUCCAUCUGUAUUCUUGAAGUUUACUGCUUAAGAGUAAUAAUUAAAACUGGAAAUGAUGCUUUUCUAACUUUUACUUUUGAAAAUUUUGAGCAAUUUUUUUCGUAAACUGAAGAAUCUGGAAACUACAUGAUACAUUAUUUAUUAUUACAUAAUUCCUUUUAUUAUAUACCUGUAUAAAUUCUGUCAAACUUACAGCUUGUAUUUUACAAUUAAAUAUGAACAGGCAGAAAAAAAUCCUUAUUGUCCUUUUUGUAUUGCAUGUUGCUGGACUACUUUCAUUUAAUAUGCAUGACCUGACACAUUUCUAUAGAUAGCGCACAUAGAAACUAUACUCUGUUCUUUUUUAACAUAGAUAAACUGUUAAAACAUUGAGGAUUUUGUUCGAUAACAAAAGGUGGAGGUAUAUAAUAAAAGGGUCAUUGUAACUGUAGCUAGAUCUGGAAUUUGUAUUUGGCUCUCAUGGAUUCUUCCAAGUUUGAUGGCACUUAGCGCUUGUGUGCACCUCGUGUUAUUCGACUUGGCAAAAUUCCCUCAAGCCGAAUACUGCAUCCAAGAUCAAGCUACUGUUUUAAUAACCCUAUUGUAUAAAUUGCUGGUCCAUAGUUUGUGCUGUUGGCCAGUCUAUAUAUAGUUCAACACUAAAGUUUGCUUGGCUAAAGUCAAAAUUAGUUGUAUAAUACCACUGCAGUAUGAAUGGUUUAUAAUCAAACAUGUUUUUACUGAUAAAUAAGUCAAACAUUUAAAAAUGGAAGUGUGAAAAUUAAUUUCUUAUGCUGUAUAAUAAAGCACUUAUUGAAUGACUUGCCAAUCAAUAGUCAAAACUUUUGGACCUCAGACAAUAGUUUGGACUAUUGACUAGCAAGUAAUUCAUUGGGUAUGUACCAUUGACCUUUGGUCCUCAGACAAUAGUUUGGACUAUUGACUAGCAAGUAAUUCAAUGGGUAUGUACCAUUGACCUUUGGUCCUCAGACAAUAGUUUGGACUAUUGACUAGCAAGUAAUUCAAUGAGUAUGUACCAUUGACCUUUGGACAUCAGACAAUAGUUUGGACUAUUGUUAAGCAAGUUAUUCAUUGGGUAUGUACCAUUGACCUUUGGACCUCAGACAAUAGUUUAGACUAUUGACUAGCAAGUAAUUCAAUGGGUAUGUACCAUUGACCUUUGGACAUCAGACAAUAGUUUGGACUAUUGUCUAGCAAGUAAUUCAGUGGGUAUGUACCAUUGACCUUUGGUCCUCUGGCAAUAGUUUGGACUAUUGACUAACAAGUAAUUCAGUGAGUAUGUACCAUUGACCUUUAGUCCUCUGGCAAUAGUUUGGACUAUUGACUAGCAAGUAAUUCAGUGGGUAUGUACCAUUGACCUUUGGACCUCAGACAGUAGUUUGGACUAUUGACUAGCAAGUAAUUCAGUGGGUAUGUACCAUUGACCUUUGGACAUCAGACAACAGUUUUGUGACUAUUGACUAGCAAGUAAUUCAGUGGGUAUGUACCAUUGACCUUUGGACCUCAGACAAUAGUUUGGACUAUUGACUAGCAAGUAAUUCACUGGGUAUGUACCAUUGACCUUUGGACCUCAGACAAAAGUUUGGACUAUUGACUAGCAAGUAAUUCACUGGGUAUGUACCAUUGACCUUUGGACCUCAGACAAUAGUUUGGACUAUUGACUAGCAAGUAAUUCAAUGAGUAUGUACCAUUGACCUUUAGACCUCAGACAAUAGUUUGGACUAUGGACUAGUAAGUAAUUCACUGGGUAUGUACCAUUGACCUUUGGAUCUCAGACAAUAGUUUGGACUAUUGUCUAGCAAGUAAUUCAGUGGGUAUGUACCAUUGACCUUUGGUCCUCUGGCAAUAGUUUGGACUAUCGACUAGCAAGUAAUUCAAUGGGAAUGUACCAUUGACCUUCGGUCCUCUGAAAAUAGUUUGGACUAUCGACUAGCAAGUAAUUCAAUGGGAAUGUACCAUUGACCUUCGGUCCUCUGAAAAUAGUUUGGACUAUCGACUAGCAAGUAAUUCAGUGGGUCUGUACCAUUGACCUUUGGUCCUCUGGCAAUAGUUUGGACUACUGACUAGCAAGUAAUUCAGUGGGUAUGUAUCAUUGACCUUUGGUCCUCUGAAAAUAGUUUGGACUAUUGACUAGCAAGUAAUUCAGUGGGUAUGUACCAUUGACCUUUGGACCUCAGACAAUAGUUUGGACUAUUGACUAGCAAGUAAUUCAGUGGGUAUGUACCAUUGACCUUUGGACCUCAGACAAUAGUUUGGACUAUUGACUAGAAAGUAAUUCACUGGGUAUGUACCAUUGACCUUUGGACCUCAGACAAUAGUUUGGACUAUUGACUAGCAAGUAAUUCAGUGGGUAUGUACCAUUGACCUUUAGACCUCAGACAAUAGUUUGGACUAUGGACUAGUAAGUAAUUCACUGGGUAUGUACCAUUGACCUUUAGACCUCAGACAAUAGUUUGGACUAUCGACUAGCAAGUAAUUCAAUGGGAAUGUACCAUUGACCUUUGGUCCUCUGAAAAAAGUUUGGACUAUUGACUAGCAAGUAAUUCAGUGGGUCUGUACCAUUGACCUUUGGUCCUCUGGCAAUAGUUUGGACUAUUGACUAGCAAGUAAUUCAAUGGGUAUGUACCAUUGACCUUUGGUCCUCUGGCAAUAGUUUGGACUAUUGACUAGCAAGUAAUUCAGUGAGUAUGUACCAUUGACCUUUAGUCCUCUGGCAAUAGUUUGGACUAUUGACUAGCAAGUAAUUCAGUGGGUAUGUACCAUUGACCUUUGGACCUCAGACAAUAGUUUGGACUAUUGACUAGCAAGUAAUUCAGUGGGUAUGUACCAUUGACCUUUGGACAUCAGACAAUAGUUUUGUGACUAUUGACUAGCAAGUAAUUCAGUGGGUAUGUACCAUUGACCUUUGGACCUCAGACAAUAGUUUGGACUAUUGACUAGCAAGUAAUUCACUGGGUAUGUACCAUUGACCUUUGGACCUCAGACAAUAGUUUGGACUAUUGACUAGCAAGUAAUUCACUGGGUAUGUACCAUUGACCUUUAGACCUCAGACAAUAGUUUGGACUAUGGACUAGUAAGUAAUUCACUGGGUAUGUACCAUUGACCUUUGGACCUAAGACAAUAGUUUGGACUAUUGUCUAGCAAGUAAUUCAGUGGGUAUGUACCAUUGACCUUUGGUCCUCUGGCAAUAGUUUGGACUAUCGACUAGCAAGUAAUUCAAUGGGAAUGUACCAUUGACCUUUGGUCCUCUGAAAAUAGUUUGGACUAUCGACUAGCAAGUAAUUCAAUGGGAAUGUACCAUUGACCUUUGGUCCUCUGAAAAUAGUUUGGACUAUUGACUAGCAAGUAAUUCAGUGGGUCUGUACCAUUGACCUUUGGUCCUCUGGCAAUAGUUUGGACUAUUGACUAGCAAGUAAUUCAGUGGGUCUGUACCAUUGACCUUUGGUCCUCUGGCAAUAGUUUGAACUAUUGACUAGCAAGUAAUUCAAUGGGUAUGUAUCAUUGACCUUUGGUCCUCUGAAAAUAGUUUGGACUAUUGACUAGCAAGUAAUUCAAUGGGUAUGUACCAUUGACCUUUGGACCUCAGACAAUAGUUUGGACUAUUGACUAGCAAGUAAUUCACUGGGUAUGUACCAUUGACCUUUGGACCUCAGACAAUAGUUUGAACUAUUGACUAGCAAGUAAUUCACUGGGUAUGUACCAUUGACCUUUGGACCUCACACAAUAGUUUGGACUAUUGACUAGCAAGUAAUUCAGUGGGUAUGUACCAUUGACCUUUAGACCUCAGACAAUAGUUUGGACUAUGGACUAGUAAGUAAUUCACUGGGUAUGUACCAUUGACCUUUGGACCUCAGACAAUAGUUUGGACUAUUGUCUAGCAAGUAAUUCAGUGGGUAUGUACCAUUGACCUUUGGUCCUCUGGCAAUAGUUUGGACUAUCGACUAGCAAGUAAUUCAAUGGGAAUGUACCAUUGACCUUUGGUCCUCUGAAAAAAGUUUGGACUAUUGACUAGCAAGUAAUUCAGUGGGUCUGUACCAUUGACCUUUGGUCCUCUGGCAAUAGUUUGGACUAUUGACUAGCAAGUAAUUCAAUGGGUAUGUACCAUUGAACUUUGGCCCUCUGACAAUAGUUUGGACUAUUGACUAGCAAGUCUUUCAAUGGGUAUGUACCAUUGACCUUUGGCCCUCUGACAAUAGUCUGGACUAUUGACUAGCAAGUCAUUCAAUGGGUAUAUAUUAUUGACUUUUGGUCCUCUGGCAAAACUGUACAUGUAUCAACUUAAGUGGCCAAUGGUUAAAAUUAUACAGCCAAAUAAAUCACUAUAGAGCCUCAUCAGAUAACUAUUGAUGGAGACAAAGGCAUUGGUAAUAGGAUACUGAUGGUGGUCAAUAGUCAUUUUCCAAGGUUGAAUAAUUUAAACCCAAUGACCAAUUUAAAGGUAAUUAGUUGUUUUAUUAUAUUGAACAAGAGUAGAAAGAAUUACAAAGGAAGAACAUUUAAUGUUGUUCAGUGCCAACUUGAUAUUUUGCAUGUUGCAGUUACGUUAUUUCCAUUAUUGUUUGGGGUUUCCAGGCAGUAUGUUGGUAAAAUUAAAGGUAGAAUUAUUAUAAUAAGGUCGUUGGUUGCAUUUGCUUAGAUUGCCAGAGCACAAAAAGUUCCCAAUGAGCCAUUAUGUUCAACCUGUGUCUGUAGUCUGUCAUCAUUGUCUGUCAUCAACAAUUUAACUAGAGGUCACAAUUUUGUCCAGAUCUUAAUGAAAAUGGAUAAGAAUGCUAACCGUCAAUAAAAUCUGGACAAGGGGCAUUGAGUAUGAAACACUAGGUCAUGAAGUCAACUAAUUUGAAAACUUUGCUAACACUCUAGAGGCCACAUUUCCUACACCCUACUCAUAAAACUUUGUCAGAAUAUUUGCAUGGUCAUGCCACAUUCUUUACUUGAUUUUCAUAAAGCUUUGUCAGAAUGUUUGCAUGGUCAUGCCACAUUCUUUACUUGAUUUUCAUAAAGCUUUGUCAGAAUGUUUGCAUGGUCAUGCCACAUUCUUUACUUGAUUUUCAUAAAGCUUUGUCAUAAUGUUUGCAUGGUCAUGCCACAUUCUUUACUUGAUUUUCAUAAAGCUUUGUCAUAAUGUUUGCAUGGUCAUGCCACAUUCUUUACUUGAUUUUCAUAAAGCUUUGUCAGAAUAUCAAUAUGAAGUUUAGAUCAGGUUCAAAACUUGGUUUCCAGAUGUCAGAAACUAAGUUAAUAAGUUAAAUCAUAGAAAAACCUCAUUGACACUCUAGAGGCUGCAUUUUCUGCUUGAUCAUCAUAAAUCGUAAAAGAGAGGUUGAAAACUAGGUCAUUAGGUAAAAUUAGAGAAAAAGUUUUUUACACUAAGUCUUGGGAGGUCUCAUUUUCUAUUUGAUCUUCCUGAAACUUUCUCAGAACAUUUGUCACUAGGAAAUCUAAGUCGUGUUUGAAACUGAAUAAUCUAGGUCAAAACUAGCUCACUAGUUUUUCUUGAUUUAUCACGGGGCUAGUUUUCCCUGGAUGGCUAUAUAGGAAACUUUGAAAAUCUUCUACUCUGAAACAGCUGGCCUGAUUUUGCAAUAAUUUUACAGCAAUAUUCCUUGGGUGACCCUCUACCCAGUUCUCUCGUUAUGGUGAAUUUUCUAAAAUCAUGACUGGCAGGGCCUAGCUAAUUUUCUUUCUUUGGCAUAUUUUCUAAAAUCUUCUCAGAAAUUGCUGGCCAAAUUUUGAAGUAAUUUCACAGAAAUGUUUCUUGGGUGACUCUUUACCAAAAUUGUUCAGUUUAGCUGUGAGACUCAAGUGGGAAAUCUAGGGCCAUCAGUGUCCAAUGUGUUAAUUGAAAAAAACCAUUUUUAUCUAAAUUCAUAAAUGUUUACAUAUGCUCAAUCUAUAUUUCAUUCCUACAUUUGACUAGUUGGAAAAAACAACGGAAGUAUGGACUAUUGACUUGUUUCCCAGAUAAAUCUUGGGGUGAAAACAAAACACUGACCAGACCACAGACUACUGACCAGUCAGUUAACAGACCAGGGGGUACAAUCUACAGACCACUGGUUUGCAGACCAGGUUAGAUAACAAGUAUGGUAGACUAAUAAAAGAACUUCUUCUAAUGGAGAUGAAAACAUCUGUUUAGAUAACCUUGUUAAAACAUUUUUUUGACUAGUACCAUAGAUUGUUCUGUUGUAUGUUAAAUUUUUAUUGGUUAAUUUGAUUGCUAUUAUGCAAUUCAAGGUGGAUUUUAGUCAGUAAUAUAGAUUUUGAAGAGGAUAAUUAACAAAAAAAAAACUAAGUACUAAAUGAAUGGCGCUUGAAAAAAGAAAAUGGACAUCAAAACCUGAAGGGCUUGAUAAGAUUUCAUGUAUGUUAAAACUACUCCGUGAAUAUCUACAUUUACAUGGACUUCGACACUUUGGGUUGAAAAUAACAAAACAAAUAAAACCCAGUUUAAUAUUUGUUAAACUGCACAGCAUGGGAGAAUAUUCCACAUACACUUUCCGAAACACUUUUGUAUUACAACAUUACAAAAAAAAAUUCAGUUUUGUUACUGUUUUUGUGAGCUGCCUUGAAUGACAUAUAUUUUGCCAAGAGAAAAAUUAGGCUUUUUGAAAAGCCACUAAAAUGAAUAUAUAUAUCAAACCUUGAAUUUGAAAAAGAAGGUCAGUAAUGAAUGAAAACCAUUUUACUACAUUCUGUCUGCAUAAACCAAAUACCCACAUGCUGAUUCUUAAUACACUAUGACUGUAAUCCGAUUAAUCAGCAUGUUGAUAUAUGGUCUAUGCAGAAAAUUGCUAUCAUACUGCUUGUCAUUAACCUAAUUAAUUGUAAUUAUGGCUUAUUAGCAUAAUUAUGGCUGUGAACUAAGCAACUUUUAUGAUUUGAUACUUAAAUGUAAAAUAAAUAAAUAAAUGAAAGGGGUCAAUCUUUGUAAAUAUUUUUGACAAGCAACAUGGCUGGUUAUGUAGAAAAUGUUUGAAUGAUAAUAUCUAUUUUGCCCCAUUUUUGACUAGAAGUUUGGUUGUUGAAGUUUUGCAAGCAAAUUGUCAGCUUUGCUGUUUCAAAAUUUUUAAUCUGUAUCAAAUUGUUACAAGAGCUGUUUAAAGGUCCAAUACUAAGGAAAGUGAACAUUUUAAUUUCUUUUAAAAAGCACAGAAACUAUUUCAUUUUAUUGGAAAAUGAAAGUUGGUAUGUAGAAAUUCGAAAUAAAUCGCAGUAUAUGUACAAUUAUUUUUCUAUGAAGUAUGAAGAAAGUUAAAAAGACCUGGGGGGUCAUUCUGUCGAUUCAUUGAAAUUUCAACAUAAUACACAUACAUUUCUUUGAGUUCCAAAGACCUUCUGUAAAUUUUGACCUGCCAAUUUUCAUUAUUUAGUGUCUUGCAGAAGUCUAUGCACUGGCUAUGAAAAAAAUUGCCAACUCACUUUCCCUUAGUAAUGGACCUUUAAUUAUUAAGACAUCUAACCACUACUAUUCAAAUUCUUGUCCUAGAUGCAGGAAUACUACCCUAAUUGUUAAAAUAUCUAUGAAGUUUCAAUCCUAUAGCUGCACUAGUUUUAACUUGCAUGCAAAACUAUAAUUAACCUACAUUUUAUAAGUCCAAUAUGGGGCAUAAUUUGUCCGAAAUAAAUGUCAAAGUCAUGGAAUUUGAUCGCGAACGACAAGAAGAAGAAUGGAAUUUGAUGUGUGAUGACCUAGUUUUAUAACCCCAAAGACACGUGAAGUUUCACUUCCAAUUCAAUAUCUGCAUUACUUUUUGAAUGUACCACAGGCGGCAUAAUUUUACCAAAAUACAUAUCAAGAGUUAUGGGACUUGAUCCUGUGAGGUUGGUUAUUGACCUACAACAAGAACAAAUAAGUUUCAAUGCUAUAUGCCUUUAAAUGAUUAUACAUACUUGCAUGCAAAACAUGAACCAAGGUGUGAUGUUCAUCAGAUGCCACCAAGGUGAGUACAAUAGCUCGGACUAUUCUUCAACUAGCUCAAGUUACACAAGUAUUACCAUGCAAAAGCCCUUAUUUGACUAAGAAGCAACCAAAUGGUCAAUCAUUGGCAGUCUUGCAGGAAGCUCUUGUUUAGAAACAUUUUUUCUUCUUAAAAUUCUACAUUAAAUGAGGAAAGAAUAACAAAUUCAAGGGCUGACAGUUACAAUAGUUUCGCGCUCAUCCAAUGCUGAAUAAAGUCGUUUUUACUGCAUGGCUGUUUCAAUUAAUGUUUCCCAGACAGAAACGGUGAUUUUUAUGAGUGCCUAAGUAAUCCUUAUGGAUUGCUUUUUACAUUUAACUUGAUUUUACCAAUACUAACACUUGUCAUGCUGGACACAAUUACAUGUAGUUAGAUGCCUUUGCAACCAGUGCAGAUCACAGUCAGACUGCACUAAUGUGCCGGCUGACCAUGAUCUGCACUGUUUGACAUCUGUGCAGUCUGACCAUGAUCUGCACUGUUUGCUAUUCAGUCAGUAUCUUUUUGGUAAGCACCCCCUGAAACAGUUAAUGGCACUGUUCAAACUGAAGAUGGACAAGUUCAUUAUAAAAAUUUAGUAUGAUAAGGGCUAAGACAUAAAAGCACUACAGGACUUAUGUAACAGAAAUAAUACACAAGGAGGCACCUUAGGUCUUCCUCUACCAUCAAAGCUUCAAGGUCGACAUAUGACCUAUGACUGUGCAAUGUAAAAAGCUAAUAGAAAAGGAAAUGUAAUAAUUAGACUUUUCCAAUUUUCUGUAAGCUUUGGGUUGUAAAUAACAGUGACGGGUAUAACAUCAACCAGACGAAAUGAUGACCAUGAUCAACCAUAGUCAUCAUAGUUUUUGAUGGUAAAACAUGGUUAGGACCACCAUCAGUCAUGGUCGACUAUGGUGAGAUAAGAUUAGCCAUAGUUGACCAUUUUCAGAACAGACGAUUGGUAGUUCGACCAUAGUCUACCAUAGUCAACUUUUUUCAACCAUGGUUGACCAUGGACUACUAUGGUGUCAUGUUAGUGAUUUUUACACUUUACUAUUUAGUGAGAAAUUUUCCAUUAAUUACAAGUCCAAAAAUUUAUUAGUAACUACAUAUUUUAAGAUAUCCAAAGACCAUCUUUCACUAAAAAAUUUUAUUGAUAUAUAUUAACUCAUUAUGUAUAAAAUUCUGAUAAAAAAAAAUUAGUUAAAGUUGCAAAUAGAGCUACAUUCAUUAUGAAAUGUCAUACAGUAAUAGUUGAUUGUUAAAAAUUUAGCAGUAGGCCUAGUACACUUCUAUACUGUUAAGUACUGUUUUAAUUAAAUCUAAAUGCACAGUACUGUUAAUAGAUAUAAAC